UGCCAGCAGCCGCGGUAAUACUGAAGGUGCAAGCGUUAAUCGGAAUCACUGGGCGUAAAGCGCUCGUAGGUGGCUUUGUAAGUCAGAUGUGAAAGCCCACGGCUCAACCGUGGAAUUGCAUUUGAUACUGCAUCGCUAGAGUAUAGGAGAGGGAAGUGGAAUUUCUGGUGUAGGAGUGAAAUCCGUAGAGAUCAGAAGGAACACCGGUGGCGAAGGCGACUUCCUGGACUAUUACUGACACUGAGGAGCGAAAGCGUCAGUAUCGAGCCAGUAAGUCG
RNAcentral lists this ribosomal RNA (278 nucleotides) under uncultured bacterium. Its description in RNAcentral is "partial 16S ribosomal RNA". It matches the Rfam family "Bacterial small subunit ribosomal RNA", at positions 506 to 784 of the family's 1533-position model. The record is from RNAcentral.